GGAUGCAUAUAUAAGAGACGGAAGCCAGAAUACUGCCGGGUGACGCACACUGCGAGACGACCGAAUCCGGAACCUUCUUUCAGCUCAAGGCUUCCGAGCACCACCUUUGACCUCGCCAUGAUAAAGUCCCUGCUGGUCGCCUUUGUGGUAGUGGCUGUUCUUUGCAGCCGGGCAUUUGCGCAGCUUGGUCUCUUCGGCGGCAUUGGACGCAACUUUGGUCCAGGCUUCGGGUACGGUGGAUUUGGCCGCUACGCAGGUUAUGGCCUCUAUGGUGGAUACCCUGGCUUUGGACUCUACCGGGGCUACGGAGGUUACGGACCUGGCAUUGGUUUCUUGGGUUGAGCGCAACGCGCUGACUUACCCACUCAGAUGUGAAAACGCUCACUGCGCUUGCGAUCGCUGCCUUCGUGAUUAAAUACAUUUUCGGAAUAAUA
Molecule: long non-coding RNA, 434 nt
Organism: Dermacentor andersoni
Lineage: Eukaryota; Metazoa; Arthropoda; Arachnida; Ixodida; Ixodidae
Source: RefSeq, a predicted model, not a curated record